AGCAGCCGCCGCGGUAAAACAGAGGGUGCGAGCGUUACUCGGAAUUACUGGGCGUAAAGCGUGCGUAGGUGGUGGUUUAAGUCCGUUGUGAAAGCCCUGGGCUCAACCUGGGAAUUGCAGUGGAUACUGGGUCACUAGAGUGUGGUAGAGGAUAGUGGAAUUUCCGGUGUAGCAGUGAAAUGCGUAGAGAUCGGAAGGAACAUCUGUGGCGAAGGCGACUAUCUGGGCCAACACUGACACUGAGGCACGAAAGCGUGGGGAGCAAACAGGAUUAGAUACCCGAGUAGUCCCUGUCUCUUAUAC
RNAcentral lists this ribosomal RNA (303 nucleotides) under uncultured bacterium. Its description in RNAcentral is "partial 16S ribosomal RNA". It matches the Rfam family "Bacterial small subunit ribosomal RNA", at positions 507 to 807 of the family's 1533-position model. The record is from RNAcentral.